UUUGGGAAGUCAUCUAGCAUAUAGCAGUGGACUUUUUAACACCAAUGUUGGAGGGCUGGAAAAUUCUUGGCUUGCUGGGCAAUCUCCGUGGUUCAAAACCUGGUUAAGAAGAGGAAUGCAUUUAAAAGAUAGAUUUGAGUAGUCCAAAUAUCUUUCCAUAGUCUAUGCACUAAGGUGUGUGUGCGCCCUACUCCUUGGUGAGCCAUUAGUCCCUUACCCAGAACCUAUUAAGUUUACUUUAGACAGAAUUGUGACAAGUGAGGCUAUCUGGAUUCCCAGUCCGCACUAGACUGGAAGUUACCAAUCAGAAGAUGAGGAGAAUGUUAGUGACAGCUGUGCUAGUAACAGUAAGCAAAACAGAUUGUCAGUUAGUGAAGGGGGAGAGAGAGAAAUUACAAAAGGCAGAGAUAAUCAUUAAGUCAUGGCAUCCUACAGUCCUUUGGUGUAGCGACUGAUAGCUUUUGGACCUCCUGGGAGAAUCCCUAACACCUAGGAAGAAUAUAGAAUAGGAACUGGAUAUAUUUCCUGAAUCCACUACAACCUACUACAACAAUUACUUUUAAUAAAAUUGACACUGAAUUGUCAAGAAAAUGCUAAAUGAUGUUCAAUAAACCGCUUAAGAGAAACAUUUGCAAUACAUUGUAGAAAAAUCUUUGUAUUAUGGUUAAAAAUAAUUUUCGUAAAAAAAGUUUGACCCCCACUAAGGGGCCAAGCUCCAAUUACGCUGGUCAUCAUUGAAACGGUUUGCUUUGUAUCAAUUCUGAAUAAAUGAUGCACUAAAAAACAGCAGCCUUUACUAAUUUGCCUACAGCAGAUUUUGAAUUGUGGUAUAUGCAAAUAAUAUGGUAUUAUAUGAGGUUUGACUUUUUAAAAUGGCAACAGAUUGCAUAGUUCAAUCAGUAGGGUGAUGUAAAAUAAUUGUUUUUAAAAGUGCCAUUGUCACUAAGGAAAACAUCGGUACCAUGUGCCCGGCACUGUGCUAGGUGCUGAAUUUAUUAAGCAUUAAUUUGAAAAAUUGCUUUCACUUUCAAGACUGUGACAGUAUUCUAAAACUCUCAUUCAUAUUUUUAAAGGUUAAGUGAAAUUUGCAGUACACAAUACAGCCAUUACAUAACAGGCAUAGAAUACAGUUUCAUGACUUGGAUAGUUGUUGUUUUUUAAGCGCAUUAGCAACUCCAUUUUCAAAUGCUAUCAAAUUCUUCAGGAUAUAAAAACCUACAUGUAAGAAUGGAGUGCCUCAUCGGCUCAUUUGUCUUAUGUAAUAAGUGUUUUAACACAGGCAUGCCAUUUCAGAAUUUCGGGUGAGACUAAGCUAUACUUUAGCUUUUUUGUGUCAAGCAAAAACAAUUUCAGCAACAACAUUGGUUUCCCCUGGUAAUUUUUUUCAUGGCGAAUUACUAAAUGCUGGAUGCUCAAGUCAAAAAGAAACCUGACAUCUGGGGAGGUGUUGAGGGGGUGUUAAUAGUUCUAGGGAGAUGUUUGGGGAGCGCUGAGGAUACGAUUUUUAAAACAGCAAAUACACGGAUAAGGGGAAAUUAUGGUUUCGUAUGACUCUCUCCUCCCUCCACUUUCUCGUUUCACCAGUCUGUAGCCCCCCCAAUUUAGAGGCGGGUUCAGCGAGAUUAGGCUGCAAGAAACCAAGAGGCUCCACCGCGCUGCCGCCCC
Macaca fascicularis (crab-eating macaque) is the source of this 1665-nucleotide long non-coding RNA. The record is from Ensembl. NCBI's taxonomy places the organism in Eukaryota, Metazoa, Chordata, Mammalia, Primates, Cercopithecidae.